CAACUAUCAAUCUUACAUAGUAAAAAACAUAAAAUGAGUUCAAAGGUUGUUGUUCUCCUCGGCCUUUCUUUGGUCGUGUUUGUCAUGAUCGCUUCCGAGGUUACGGCCAGGGAAAUGGCCGAGACGACUACUACAUUUAAUCCAACAGAAGCUGAGAAAGCAAAUGGGCUUGUUGGAGAUGACAAGCACCAUGGCGGUGGAGGGUGGUGCAAACACGGUUGUUGCGGCCAUGGCCACCACGGGGGCUGCAGUAUGUGCUGCUCAUACAAGGGGCAGACCAUGGAGGAUGCAGCCAAGCCUUAAGCAAAGCCUCAUUGCUAAUGUGUGAGAUGUAGGGUGUGGUGUACCUCUACUAUAUUGCCAUAUAUCCUACAUAUAUGCAUGUGAAAAACUAUAAGAAAUUGUUGCAAUCUGUAAUAAUAUAAUGCAUGUAGUGAACUAUCACCUACGCAUUAUCUUUAUCAUAAAUAAAAGAUCAGGUUGCUAUACACUUA
Ipomoea triloba (trilobed morning glory) is the source of this 494-nucleotide long non-coding RNA. RefSeq lists it as uncharacterized. The record is from RefSeq and is a predicted model, not a curated record. NCBI's taxonomy places the organism in Eukaryota, Viridiplantae, Streptophyta, Magnoliopsida, Solanales, Convolvulaceae. The transcript is spliced from 2 exons.